UCAGAUUUUAAAAAUAUCAGUUAAGGAGAUCUCUGCCUGCAUUUUGGAAGCUUGCUGAGCAGAUGGCUUUGCUCCCUUUGGAAAAGUCAGAAGCCAAGGCCAGCGUUUAGUUAGAAAGGGCGUGUUAGCCCCGAAUAUGCCAUGCUUUGUAGGUUAGCUUGGAAGGGGUCAAGAAGAAUCCAUCAGAAGAACAUUCUGAUGCUCAUAUUUUAAACUUGGCUGGAGGCAGAUGUACAAGCAUCCUUUGGAAUGGAAGGGGUGGCAAAGUCCUUUCCUGCAGCACAAGAGGCAGCGUUAGCUUCAUGCUUUAACAAGAAAAAGCAGAGAGGCAGGUGGCACCCCAGGGAGUUCCAGACAAGGGAUUGAUACAAAACCAGAGGAGAAGCACAUUUUCUAAAGAAUAAGGACUCUAUGUAGAGCUGAGACCCUACGCACUGCCCUCACCAAGCCCCAUGUAAGUUUCUUCUUUCAGGCAAGCAGGCUUGUCCCAACAUUAUAACAACACUUAGAUACAACAGAUACCUGUUGGACAAACAGAGAAACACCAGGAAUACAAGUACACAUCACAAAACCACGUGAGGAUGCAGAGAAGGUGGCCAUCUGCAAGCCAAGGGGAGAAGCCUGGGUAGAAACCAGCCCUGCUGACACCUUGACCUCAGACUUUCACUCUCCAGCACUGUGAGAAUGUAAAUUUCUGCUGUUGAAGCCUGCCCACCUGUGGUAUUUUGUUAUGGCACCCCUAGCAAAAGAAUAUGAGUCAUGGUUAUUUUUCAGAUAUGAAAACACAGGACCCUUCUUUGCCUCCAUGUCUUUGCAGUUCUGGUUCUCUGCCCUUGACACAUCCCUUCAUGAAGUGUAGCCUUCAUGUCUUUUGUAAAUCCCUCCUGGACCAUACCAGGCAACUGGUGUGUCCUCUGUGCUGUCCAAGCACCUGAAACCACACACCUGUAAAGCACUAAUCACAGUGAAAAGAAAAUACUUGUUUAUGUGACUAUCUCCCUCAUUAAACUAUCAAAUUCUCAAAAACAGAGACUGUCUUGUAUUGGCAUGCAGCUGCACAGAAUGAUAUUAAUCCUCAUCUUUUGUUCAUAAACAUUUGACACUGGUUCAUACAUGGUUUUAAAAAGAAAUUAGGUGUUUUUUAUUUUAUUCUAAUUUUUUUUUUGAGACGGGGUCUCACUCUUCUCCCAGGCUGGAGUGCUGUGGCUCGAUCUCGGCUCACUGCAACCUCUGCUUCUCGGGCUAAAGUGAUCCUUCCACCUCAGCCUCCUGAGUAGCUGGGAUUACAGGCACACACCACCAUGUCUGGCUAAUUUUUUGUAUUUUUUGUAGAGAUGGGUUUUCGCCAUGUUGCCCAGCCUAGUCUCAAACUCCUGGGCUCAAGGGAUUCGCCUGUCUGGGCCUUCCAAAGUUCUGGGAUUACAGGCAUGAGCCACUGCACCACCUAGCCUUAUGUUUAAUAAUUCAGUAGGCAACCAUGAACCAAUUACCUA
This 1493-nucleotide long non-coding RNA is filed under the name Homo sapiens (human). RNAcentral describes it as "HSALNT0132916". Lineage: Eukaryota; Metazoa; Chordata; Mammalia; Primates; Hominidae. The record is from RNAcentral.